Molecule: long non-coding RNA, 3060 nt
Organism: Cyprinus carpio carpio
Lineage: Eukaryota; Metazoa; Chordata; Actinopteri; Cypriniformes; Cyprinidae
Source: Ensembl
ACCUGUCUAUUUACCACCUGAGUCCUGGAAGUAUGCAGCAUCGCUGGUGAAGUAAGCUUUUAAGCCACUGUCUCACUCACGUGCACCGACGCCAGUAUCCUGUACUGAGAAGACUUCUUACCUCCCUAGGUACCGUCUGAGUCUGGAAGUACGCAGCAUCGCUGAGGAAGUAAGCUUUUAAAUUAUUCUUUCUAAUGUGCCCCGGCGAAAGUAUUCUGUACUGCGAGGGAUGCUUACCUGUCUACUCACCGUCGGAGUCCCGAAGGAUGCAGUAUUUCUGCCCUAGGAAGGAACAUAUUGCUGUGGGGAAAUUCUUGCCUUCUUACUUACCGUCUGAGUCUGGAAGUAUGCAGCAUUGCUGAGGAAGCAAGCUUUUAAAUUACUCUUUCUCUAAUGUGCCCUGACGAAAGUAUUCUGUACUGCGAAGAACCCUGACCUGUCUACUCACCGACGGAGUCCUGAAGAAUGCAGCAUUGUUGGUGAAGUAAUCUUUUAAACCACUGUCUCACUACUGUGUAUUGACGCAAGUAUCCUUGACUGAGAAGUAUCCUUAUCUGUAGACUCACUGCCCGAGUCUUGAAGAGAGCCGCCCUAUUGGUGAAGUCGCCGUCAGGGCGAAACUGCGACGUACGAUCAGUACCUAUCCGUAGCUGAAGAAGACCUAGAGGACACUGAAGUCUAUCACGCUUGUGCUCACUGAUAUAUUGUGCUCAAUAAAGAUUGUUAUUCCUUUGAAGUUACCUCUUGUCUGCGUUGUCCAUCUGUUGCGGACCUGUGGUGUCGGCUCCUCACGGUGGGGUCUAAGUAAGGGGUGGCUGGUCAUCCGAGUCCACCCCGGUGACAUAAAGUGGCGUAGUCGGCAGGGUUCCCACCGUGAGUUGUAGCGGCCACAGGUACGCGAUGGUGGACGAAGAGGCACCAGCGGCUCGUCCGCAAGUCAUGCCGAUCUUUAUGGGAGCUCCCUGGGCACAGCGUUAUGGAGGGCCAGGAUCGGAGUUAGGCUUGCACUAUUGGAAGGCGCAGACGGAAUAUCUGGCCGGAUUACAGGGACUGAGUGCAUCACAGAAAGUACAGUUUGUGUUGGGAUCUUUGGAAGGAGAAGCCAAAAGAGAAGUUCUUGCUGCAUCAGAAGCCACACGGGCUACCGCGAAAACUAUCUUUGAUUUCUUGUCAGGACUAUAUGGAGACUCUACCCCGGUGGCCACUCUUCGUGCCCAGUUCUUUAGCUGUCGACAGGGGCCUAGGCAGACUCUUCGGGCAUACUCCCUGAAAUUGCGGGAGCAGUUUGGCCGGCUGAAGGGACGACAGGAUCAUGGACUAGGUGAAGGAGAUGUCUUGUUACGAGACCAAUUUGUCUUGGGGCUGCGUGAGGGGCCGGUACGUCAGGCCAUACGUCUUCAGCUUCGACGAGACCCCACUAUGACCUUUGAGGCUCUGCGACAAGAGGCCUUGGCAUUGGAAUUCGAUCAGGGAGAGAUGACUCAUACACCUGUUUGUGUGGCAGCAAGUAGUGCCAGUGGACCCGCGCCUGUCGAGCCGAGUGAUUGGAAACAGAAACUGAGAACUGAACUAUUGGAGGAUGUCAAGGGACAGAUGGCGGAACUAUCUCGGAACCUGUUGGGUGAAUUCCGUCGGGGUCGAGUCGAGGGUGGGUCGAUGGUGAGAGAGAGGUCGUAUUCGGAGGAGGGGCGAGGUCCUGUGCGCCGCCCCCUACGACCUGUGGGCCCCCGGUUCCAGUGGGAUGACCAGGGGAGGCCCAUCUGUAUUAAUUGUGGAGGUCCGGGACACAUCAGUCGUCAGUGUGGGCUCCGUCGGGGUUCUCAAGGGGGUUUUUAGUCCCACCGGCCACUGUGGGUCAAGUGGCCGGGACCCCUUUGUGUGACCCUUCUUCUGUUCCUGCUUUACGAGAUGACUGGGUUGGGCGUUGUCCCACCAUGGAGGUUCAAGCUAAUGGAGUCACGAUAAAUUGUCUGGUUGAUACAGGUUCUCAAGUUACAUUAUUCUUGGAGAGUCUGGCCCAGGAGUUGUUUGCAGAUCGUCGGCUCCAAGCAAUGGAAGCUUCCCGGCUGACUUUACGGGGGGCACAUCCCCUACACUGGGUACAUCGUGGUAGACUUUCUGGUCCGAGGGGUUCCCGUCCAACAGAAAGGGGUUGUUAUCGUUUGAGAUCAUUGCUUGGGCAUUCAUCGAGCACUCCUAGGGAUGAAUGUUAUACUGGAUUGCUGGGAGGAAUUGUUCCGGGGCCGGCCGGCUCGGACGUCUUUGUCAUCGGCAAGGCAGGACUGGGACCGAAUUCUGGCCGAUUGCCAAAGAGUGCACGCAGCUAGUCAAGUGGAGGAGAGAGAGGACAUCGGUCGAGUUGCCUGUCGGUACGCUUUGUCUGUUCCAGCUCAGAGCGAGACGGUUCUUUGGGUCCGAGUGCCUUCAGGACCCCGUGGGUCGGGUACCUGUGUUCUGGUGGAGCCUCAUGAGGACUGUCAGCCCAUCGAAGUGGCUCAAGGGCUGGGGGUCAUCCAUCGAGGGCGAGUCUCAGUAAAGGUGCGGAACGCCCAUCCUUACCCCGUGCUCCUUCGUCAACAACAAAACGUCUGGUCCGAGUUUCCUUGGUAUGUCCUGUCCAGGUUUAUGAGCAUCAGGAUGUCUGCUUCAGGCUGGUGAGCUCUGCGGUGGUGGAAGUCACCGUCCGCCCAGUUGAGGCAGAACCGGGCCCUGUGGGAGGAGGGGUGCUGACCCAUUUGAUGGGAGAGUCCCUGAAGGGUGAGAAUCUGGAGGAGGGGCAAGUGUUACAGCUCCAGGAGCUCUUGAGAAAAUGGCAACAUGUGUUCUCGACCCACGAAGAAGACUAUGGCUGCACAGGGGUAGUGAAGCAUCAAAUACCCACGGGUGAGGCGAUGCCUAGCCGAGAGCGGUACCGUCCAGUGCCACCCAUUCUCUAUGCUGAGGUCCGCGGCCUGUUGAAAGGGAUGUUGGAGGGAGGAAUCGUUCGAGAGAGCAGUAGUCCGUGGGCGGCGCCAAUCAUUUUGGUGCAGAAGAAAACGGGAGCUUGGAGAUUCUGCGUUG